RNAcentral lists this ribosomal RNA (195 nucleotides) under Enterococcus saigonensis. RNAcentral's name for it is "partial 16S ribosomal RNA". It matches the Rfam family "Bacterial small subunit ribosomal RNA", at positions 591 to 785 of the family's 1533-position model. The record is from RNAcentral. Lineage: Bacteria; Bacillati; Bacillota; Bacilli; Lactobacillales; Enterococcaceae.
GAUGUGAAAGCCCCCGGCUCAACCGGGGAGGGUCAUUGGAAACUGGGAGACUUGAGUGCAGAAGAGGAGAGUGGAAUUCCAUGUGUAGCGGUGAAAUGCGUAGAUAUAUGGAGGAACACCAGUGGCGAAGGCGGCUCUCUGGUCUGUAACUGACGCUGAGGCUCGAAAGCGUGGGGAGCAAACAGGAUUAGAUAC